AAGUCGUAACAAGGUUUCUAUAGAACACACCACAUUGUGAAGCCUUGAUUUUAAGUCUUAUAAAGGCGACACCUUUACUGUGCUUGGAUAUCUUUUGAGGUAACAAGCAGCUGCUAACUGCAGUUCACAGAUCAAACAAAGGUGGUCCUUUGGUGCAAACCACAUGGAUUUAGAUAUGACCGGCCUACUCUGGAAAAACUGUAGAGCUUGCGUUCCGUAGGUGAACCUGCGGAAGGAUCAUUACUGAGAAACAUGCCCUCUGGGCAUAUCUCCCACCCUAUGUUUACAAUACGUUGUUGCUUUGGUGGGCCCGUCACUUGACCACUGGCUACAAGCUGGUCUGUGCCUGCCAGAGGACCCCAAUAUCUUUUUUUAAUGUUGUCUGAGUAUUAUAUAAAGUUAAAAACUUUCAACAACGGAUCUCUUGGUUCUGGCAUCGAUGAAGAACGCAGCGAAAUGCGAUAGGUAAUGUGAAUUGCAGAAUUCAGUGAAUCAUCGAAUCUUUGAACGCACAUUGCACCCUCUGGUAUUCCGGGGGGUAUGCCUGUUCGAGCGUCAUUGCAACCUUCAAGCACUGCUUGGUAUUGGAUNNCACUAUUUUAGUGUGUCUCAAAAGUAUUAGUGGUGGCAUUUAGCUUCUAGUGUAGUAAUGUCUCGCUAUGGAGUCUGGGUGUUGACCUGCUAGAACCCCUAAUUUAUCAAAGGUUGACCUCGGAUCAGGUAGGGAUACCCGCUGAACUUAAGCAUAUCAAUAAGCGGAGGAAAAGAANNCANCAGGGAUUGCCUUAGUAACGGCGAGUGAAGCGGCAACAGCUCAAAUUNGAAAUCUGGCCUCAUGGUCCGAGUUGUAAUUUGUAGAAGAUGCUUCGAGCAUGGUCCAGUCUAAGUUCCUUGGAACAGGACGUCAUAGAGGGUGAGAAUCCCGUAUGUGACUGGGUGCCUAAGCUCAUGUGAAGCUCUUUCGACGAGUCGAGUUGUUUGGGAAUGCAGCUCAAAAUGGGUGGUAAAUUUCAUCUAAAGCUAAAUACUGGCCAGAGACCGAUAGCGCACAAGUAGAGUGAUCGAAAGAUGAAAAGCACUUUGGAAAGAGAGUUAAACAGUACGUGAAAUUGUUGAAAGGGAAGCGCUUGCAACCAGACUUGCAUGCAGUCGAUCAUCCGGUGUUCUCACUGUGUGCACUCGAUUGUAUUCAGGCCAGCAUUGGUUUUGGUGGUUGGAUAAAGGCCUUGGGAAUGUAACUUCUCUUGGGGAGUGUUAUAGCCCAAGGUGUAAUGCGGCCUACCAGGACCAAGGACCGCGCUUCGGCUAGGAUGCUGGCGUAAUGGUUGUAAGCGACC
This 1337-nucleotide ribosomal RNA is filed under the name uncultured fungus. RNAcentral's name for it is "eukaryotic LSU rRNA". The stretch from base 707 to 1337 matches the Rfam family "Eukaryotic large subunit ribosomal RNA", at positions 1 to 649 of the family's 3401-position model. The record is from RNAcentral. Lineage: Eukaryota; Fungi.